This 253-nucleotide ribosomal RNA is filed under the name uncultured Rikenellaceae bacterium. RNAcentral describes it as "partial 16S ribosomal RNA". It matches the Rfam family "Bacterial small subunit ribosomal RNA", at positions 524 to 776 of the family's 1533-position model. The record is from RNAcentral. Lineage: Bacteria; Pseudomonadati; Bacteroidota; Bacteroidia; Bacteroidales; Rikenellaceae.
UACGGAGGAUCCGAGCGUUAUCCGGAUUCAUUGGGUUUAAAGGGUGCGUAGGUUGUUUUAUAAGUUAGCGGUGAAAUACCGAUGCUCAACAUCGGGGCUGCCGCUGAUACUGUAGGACUAGAGAUCGGAUGCAGCAGGCGGAAUGUGUAGUGUAGCGGUGAAAUGCAUAGAUAUUACACAGAACACCGAUUGCGAAGGCAGCUUACCAGACUGAGUCUGACGCUGAUGCACGAGAGCAUGGGUAGCGAACAGG